Long non-coding RNA from Mustela erminea (ermine), 454 nucleotides. RefSeq lists it as uncharacterized. The transcript is spliced from 3 exons. Lineage: Eukaryota; Metazoa; Chordata; Mammalia; Carnivora; Mustelidae. The record is from RefSeq and is a predicted model, not a curated record.
UAGAGAUUGCCACUCCUAACCCCUGUGUUGUUUAAGGGUCACCUGCAUAUAUUGAAGAUGUUCACUUCUCUCCAUCUUUGACUUCGCUACCUUCCGGCCAGCUACCACCAUCCUUCACAGGAGAAAUAAAGACCAUCAACUUCAUUUCUCCGCCUCUAUGUUUGCCUUUCCAUGGUCAACUUUCCAUGCUGAAACUAGAGACAGCUUUCUAAAAGACACUUAAACGUCACUUCAGACAGCAGAGCAGAAGUUCCCAAAAAUAGACAAUGGGAAUGUCAUUCCUUUGCAAGCAGGAAUGUUCCAUCACCACCAGAACAUUACCACCAAGCUCCGCCAAACACAGCAUCCAUAUCAGAUUUCAGCUGGGCAGAGAAGAGUCAUACACAUAUUUUAGACCAUCGAGCCACAUUCCAAAGCAAUGCUGCUCUCCUGGAACGAAGGGGACUAGCACUCC